Molecule: long non-coding RNA, 424 nt
Filed under: Gossypium barbadense (sea-island cotton)
Lineage: Eukaryota; Viridiplantae; Streptophyta; Magnoliopsida; Malvales; Malvaceae
Description: long non-coding RNA (GBAR_LNC014905)
Source: RNAcentral
UUUAAUUCAGCUAAAUUAAUAAGCUAGAAUAGCUUAUUAUCUAAGUUCAAUCUAUUGGGAAAUUCCUAGACCUUGGAGACGGCAAUAGCAGCAGCUUAAAUGUUCCAAUUCAGCUGAUUAAUUAAGCUGAUUACUUAGACCUGAAGAGUUCAUUGUUUGAGCAGCUCAAAGCCUUAAUUCCUUUCAAUAAAUCUGCCUUGGGAAUUCAAAUGAUCAGCAGCAGCAUUAGUGAUGUCUUGGACACCCAAAACAGCUUCUAGUGUGAACUAGUGAAGACAAUCGGUCACCAUGUGUGAAAAGUUGGUUCUGAACAGCCAUCAAGUGUGAAAAGAAUAUAAGAGCUAAAUGGCCAUGUGUGAAUACUCUUUUGUCUAUUGCUAUGCACGAACAGACUCUUAGGGAAGAGGAAUGAGCUGAAGCUUAA